RNAcentral lists this ribosomal RNA (851 nucleotides) under Benthomisophria palliata. Its description in RNAcentral is "eukaryotic LSU rRNA". It matches the Rfam family "Eukaryotic large subunit ribosomal RNA", at positions 70 to 813 of the family's 3401-position model. Lineage: Eukaryota; Metazoa; Arthropoda; Copepoda; Misophrioida; Misophriidae. The record is from RNAcentral.
UGUGAUGCCCUUAGUAAUGGCGAAUGAAACGGGCUAAGCUCAGCACCGAACUGCCAACCAUCUGGGUUGCGUGGAAUGUGGUGUUUGGGAGAGCCUCCUCACAGCGAGACGACCAGUCCAAGUCCACCUUGACUGGGGCCACGGCUCAUAGAGGGUGAUAGGCCCGUAAGACGGUUGCCUUGCUGUGCUGGCUUUUCCCCAGAGUCGAGUUGCUUGGGAGUGCAGCUCAAAGCGCGUGGUAAACUCCACGUAAGGCUAAAUAUGACCCCGAGACCGAUAGCAAACAAGUACCGUGAGGGAAAGUUGAAAAGAACCCUGAAGAGAGAGUUCAAAAGUACGUGAAACUGUAUAGUGGUAAACACAGGGCUUCUCGAAGUUGGAGCCCGAGGUUCAGGCUAAGGUGGGUGCUGCUUGUGGGCGUGGGAUCCGCAAGGACUCUGCUUCCAAGUCUAGUGCUCACUGUGGCUGCAUUUCUCGGGCUCUGGACGCAACGAACUGCUGCUGUUGGACUAUGGACGCCGGUGAAGUUUGUGAAGGUGCAAGCCUUUGCAAGCCCGGCGCUCUUGGCUCCGACGGCGGCAGGUACUGUAAGCAGGCUCGUAUAGCGAGUGUCUCUCACUGGCACGGCUUGCAUCUCUGUUGCGAGUAGGUCGGCGGGCCCUGUGACCCGUCUUGAAACACGGACCAAGGAGUCUAACACGUGUGCGAGUCAUUGGGUUGACUAAACCUAAAGGCGCAGUGAAAGCAAAGGGUACUCACGUACCUGAGGGGUGAUCUGCCUUGCGCGGCGCAACCCCGGCGCUUCGCAUCGACCUUGUAUCGUGCGGAGCAGUAAGAGCAUACGCGUUGGG